GCAGGAAACGUGAAGUAAAUCAAUUCCCUAGCCCUCCGAAGGCAGAGGUGGCGCGUUCGAAUCGCGCCGGGUGCACCA
Molecule: transfer RNA, 78 nt
Filed under: Rhizobiaceae bacterium
Lineage: Bacteria; Pseudomonadati; Pseudomonadota; Alphaproteobacteria; Hyphomicrobiales; Rhizobiaceae
Description: tRNA-Arg
Source: RNAcentral